GCCUAUGGCACACCGCCCUGAGAGCGCCCGGUCUCGUCUGAUCUUGCAAUCUAAGCAGGGUCUGGCCCACUUAGUACUGGGAUGGGAGACCCCCUGGGAAUACUGGGUGCUGUAGGCU
Molecule: non-coding RNA, 118 nt
Organism: Taeniopygia guttata (zebra finch)
Lineage: Eukaryota; Metazoa; Chordata; Aves; Passeriformes; Estrildidae
Source: Rfam